GUGGGGAAUAUUGGACAAUGGGCGAAAGCCUGAUCCAGCCAUGCCGCGUGUGUGAAGAAGGUCUUCGGAUUGUAAAGCACUUUAAGUUGGGAGGAAGGGCAGUAAGUUAAUACCUUGCUGUUUUGACGUUACCGACAGAAUAAGCACCGGCUAACUUCGUGCCAGCAGCCGCGGUAAUACGAAGGGUGCAAGCGUUAAUCGGAAUUACUGGGCAUAAAGCGCGCGUAGGUGGUUUUGUAAGUUGGAGGUGAAAUCCCCGGGCUCAACCUGGGAACUGCCUCCAAAACUGCAUGACUAGAGUACGGUAGAGGGUAGUGGAAUUUCCUGUGUAGCGGUGAAAUGCGUAGAUAUAGGAAGGAACACCAGUGGCGAAGGCGACUACCUGGACUGAUACUGACACUGAGGUGCGAAAGCGUGGGGAGCAAACAGGAUUAGAUACCCCGGUAGUCC
This 450-nucleotide ribosomal RNA is filed under the name uncultured bacterium. RNAcentral describes it as "bacterial SSU rRNA". It matches the Rfam family "Bacterial small subunit ribosomal RNA", at positions 354 to 796 of the family's 1533-position model. The record is from RNAcentral.